Molecule: small nuclear RNA, 22 nt
Filed under: Arabidopsis thaliana (thale cress)
Lineage: Eukaryota; Viridiplantae; Streptophyta; Magnoliopsida; Brassicales; Brassicaceae
Description: snRNA_00103
Source: RNAcentral
AUGUGGGACAUUGUACACAUUG